UGCAGCCGCCGCGGUAAUACGGAGGGGGUUAGCGUUGUUCGGAAUUACUGGGCGUAAAGCGCGCGUAGGCGGACUAUUAAGUCAGGGGUGAAAUCCCGGGGCUCAACCCCGGAACUGCCUUUGAUACUGGUAGUCUAGAGUUCGAGAGAGGUGAGUGGAACUCCGAGUGUAGAGGUGAAAUUCGUAGAUAUUCGGAAGAACACCAGUGGCGAAGGCGGCUCACUGGCUCGAUACUGACGCUGAGGUGCGAAAGUGUGGGGAGCAAACAGGAUUAGAAACCCGGGUAGUCC
RNAcentral lists this ribosomal RNA (290 nucleotides) under uncultured bacterium. RNAcentral's name for it is "partial 16S ribosomal RNA". It matches the Rfam family "Bacterial small subunit ribosomal RNA", at positions 507 to 796 of the family's 1533-position model. The record is from RNAcentral.